AACAACAACCCAGUAUAAUCCCACUUAGUGGGGUCUGGGGAAGGUAGUGUAUACGCAGACCUUACCCCUACCCUUGGGUAGAGAGGCUGUUUCCAAAUAGACUUGCUUACUAUCAGAGCAACCCCUCUUGUCCAAUCAGGGUUCUUAUUAUCUCAAUAAUUUUGUAAAUGCGGCUCUGUGGUGCGGCCUUUUCCCCAACCCUGCGUGAAUGCGAGAUGCGUUGCACACUGGAUUGAUCCCUUCUUUUUUUAAAUUUUGUAAACAGAGG
RNAcentral lists this long non-coding RNA (268 nucleotides) under Nicotiana benthamiana. RNAcentral describes it as "long non-coding RNA (NBEN_LNC021135)". The record is from RNAcentral. Lineage: Eukaryota; Viridiplantae; Streptophyta; Magnoliopsida; Solanales; Solanaceae.